This 58-nucleotide transfer RNA is filed under the name Ebenavia inunguis. RNAcentral describes it as "tRNA-Ser". Lineage: Eukaryota; Metazoa; Chordata; Lepidosauria; Squamata; Gekkonidae. The record is from RNAcentral.
AAGGAUGACUACUAAACUGCUAAUUUAACCCUCCUGGACUAAUGCCCCAGGCACCCUU